Triticum dicoccoides is the source of this 201-nucleotide long non-coding RNA. RefSeq lists it as uncharacterized. The transcript has 2 exons. The record is from RefSeq and is a predicted model, not a curated record. NCBI's taxonomy places the organism in Eukaryota, Viridiplantae, Streptophyta, Magnoliopsida, Poales, Poaceae.
CCAGAACAAUCUGACACUCCAGUGUCUGCUAAUGACAUGUGUUCCCUUGCUGAAUGGCCAUCCCAUGCUCGCCGCAACCGUGCGCUACUACAGGAUGAAGCUGGUGGACAGAAGAAGAAAGGGCGAGGUGUUCUAAAAGGUUUUAAAGCAUCUAAGAAGCGUUUUGCCAAUGGAUCUGCAAAGCUAAAUAUUACAUUCUCU